AGACUCCACACACUUUUGAAAAGAACCCAGGCUGCCACCAGAACCCUUUUCUAAGGGAGCUGGGCUACUAUGCCUGAAUCCCACAGUAAAUAAAGGGUUGAGAAGAAAAGAAUUUUUAACGUCACAUUACCAAAACUCCUGGCCCCCAGAUGGCUGAUGCUAACAGAUCCUCUGUAUUGCAACGGAUGAAGAUGAGCCCUGGGCGGCCUUUGUCAACGGAUGAAGAUGAGCCCUGGGCGGCCUUUGUCAACGGAUGAAGAUGAGCCCUGGGCGGCCUUUGUCAAUGGAUGAAGAUGAGCCCUGGGCGGCCGUUGUGGAGACGGUCAUCACUGUGACUGUUUUUGCGCUGGUUGUUGUGGUUGUUGGCACCUGUAUUCAUCCCCUCACCCGUUCCUGGAUGAACAGCCCAGAAGUGGAUUUGGAUUUUUGAUUUGAAACGCCAAAUGGGCGAAUAAAAUAUAACUCUCACCCACUCACGUUGUCUCUCAGAAUAAAUUGUAACAUGCAAGUUUCAAUUAAGUUUCUUGUGACCUCAUGUUGACUAAAUAUAAGGGUUUUCUUUUCCCAACGUUAGCGGGUCAUAUGUAGUCAGUCUUUGUCCUUCAGAUGGUUGUGUGCACUUUAUUGGAGGGAUUUCUAUUUUGUUGACUGUGUUGCAAUGCCCCUCCCACCCCCACCUACUCCAGCAGCCUGUAGAGCAGACAGGAGUCUGCACGGAGUCCUUUUUGCCCUGGAUUUCUUGUGCUCUUGAUCUGGUGUUCCUCUUAAUACCUCAUCUCCUUCCUUUUCAACUUAAUUAAUCCUCCAUCUCUUGCCUCAUAGUCCCUGUGUCCUUCCUCUUAUUCCUGUGGGGUCACAUGGUGAAAGCCUAGCUGUUACCAUGGCUCCAAGCUGUGCUUUCUCUC
Bos taurus (domestic cattle) is the source of this 905-nucleotide long non-coding RNA. NCBI's taxonomy places the organism in Eukaryota, Metazoa, Chordata, Mammalia, Artiodactyla, Bovidae. The record is from Ensembl.